UAGCAUGGGUGAGGCCCUGGGUUAAAUCCCCAGCACCACAUAAAAAUAAAUAAGUAAAAUAAAGGUAUUGUGUCCAACUACAACUAAAAAAUAAAUGUUAAAAAAAUCUUGCUAUUUAUUUUAUCAUUGGUGUCAAAUCUGAAGAACCUUUCAUGUAAGAAUGCCAUUAAAGCUGAAAUUCCAAAAACCCUUGGCUUUCUACAUACCUGGCCCCAUGGCACUUUACAAUCUUAGUGCUCAUUGAAUUUUUUUUUUUUUUUUAGAUACUGGGGAUUGAAUUCAGGGCCUGACACAUGGUAGGCAAGCACUCUACCACUGAACUCCAUCCCCAGCCCCCUAAAGGCUUCUUAGGACUAUACCCUCUUAUCAGUUCUCACAACUUCUUUUCUGAUUUAUACAAGGAAAAAUUCUGGUAGAAAAAUUCUUCUAGGUUACUUGGAAACAGUUUUCUUAUAAAAAGAGUAGUGUUACUUUAGGGACUUGUUCAAAAGUAGAAGGCAGAGUGUAAGGAUAACCCCAUGCCCCCAACACACACACCCCAAGAUAGCUUGCCAUAAGUUCUUCAACUAAAAAUAAUCCCACUGUAGGAUUUGCUUAGUCCUGGCAGGUUAAAGCACCAGCAAUAUGAGUGUAAUUCUCCCCAGGAGAUUUUCUUCUAAUAACCCCAGAGGGCAG
RNAcentral lists this long non-coding RNA (675 nucleotides) under Marmota monax (woodchuck). The record is from RNAcentral. Lineage: Eukaryota; Metazoa; Chordata; Mammalia; Rodentia; Sciuridae.